RNAcentral lists this long non-coding RNA (639 nucleotides) under Sinocyclocheilus grahami. Its description in RNAcentral is "lncRNA (ENSSGRG00000032430.1)". The record is from RNAcentral. Lineage: Eukaryota; Metazoa; Chordata; Actinopteri; Cypriniformes; Cyprinidae.
UGAUGCAAGGUCCCAUUGCGUGGUGCCACCCGAACAAGCUCACUGGCGUGAUCCGAUGCUGAUGCUGUCGGCUGUUUGUGUAUGACUUUGACAGGCGUUUGAAGGGUUGGUCGUCCUUCCUUCCGCUCGAGCGGUUUGAGCGCAAUGUUUCCGAUGUUUUAUCAGUCUUUGCUGACGAUCGUGAGCAGCGGAGCGUUAUAUCGACCAUCUAAUAGUAUUAGCCUGGGUUGGGCGUAAACUGCCCAUUUACCAGCUAGCCGGGCAGCUAACUCAGCUAGCGAACGCAUCAACGGACUGUCCUGGAAAAUGAUCGGAUUAAUUCAGCCUUCAGCCACAUCCGUUUGUCUCAUAAAGUGAAAUGGCAUGUGAUGAUAAUUCUACAUUUAUGAGGGCCAAGCUGACUGAAGUGUCAAGAGGACAGCUUACCCAGCAUUGAGGGCUGUUGUCUAUUUUCAGUUCUGGAUUUCCUGUUAGAUUUAUCCACAGUAUCAUAUUUCUGUGUUGAGAAGAAGACUGAGCAGGAUGACUGGAACUGAAGCUUCACAGACACGACUGUUCAUUCACUGCGUGUCACCUUGCUGUCGUACCACUCCCACAUCUGGAGGAUACUGUUUCUGAACUAAUUAAGGUCAGGGUUUG